GUGGCUGUGGCCAUUGAUUGACACAUUAAAUUCAUCCAUUGACUGGGACAAUUUACGUGAACGUUUGUCUGUAACAACCACUGUUCACGACGUACAUACGAUAGACAUUUAAACUGUGGGGUCACCAAAGGUUUCUUAACGCCUUUAAUUAUAAAAUAAUCCGAAAAAUUAAUCAGGAAUAACCUUUAUGUUUUGAUUUAUAUAAUUGAUAUAAAUCAAAACAUCGUGUUAUUUCUGAUUAAUUUUUCGAAUUACUUUAUUAAGGUGUUGAGAACCUUUGGUGACCCCAUAGUUUAAGUGUCUUUAAAAAGUACAUAGUGAGCAGUGGUCGUUACAUACAAACGUUCACCUAAAUUGUCGCAGUCAAUGGAUGAAAUUAAUGUGUCAAUCAAUGGCCACAGCCACACUGUUUUGAAUUUCAUUCUAUGAUACCCCCUUAAAAAAA
RNAcentral lists this long non-coding RNA (445 nucleotides) under Mytilus galloprovincialis (Mediterranean mussel). The record is from RNAcentral. Lineage: Eukaryota; Metazoa; Mollusca; Bivalvia; Mytilida; Mytilidae.